Non-coding RNA from Pelobates cultripes (western spadefoot toad), 360 nucleotides. The record is from the annotation of a GenBank genome assembly. Lineage: Eukaryota; Metazoa; Chordata; Amphibia; Anura; Pelobatidae.
CUUCAUCUUUGAAGAGGGAAAAAAUAAAUCCCACCUUCUCUCUUUCAGAUGGAAACCGGUUAGGUAACAUCAUGAAAUGCAAACGGCAUUGAUUUAGGAAACCCCUGAAUUUUUUGCGGUCUCCUCCAAAUUUUUCUGGUAGAGGCAAGCAGGUGUAACAGUAGUAGUAGCAGCAGCCGCAACAUCAUGUGCCCUGUAGCUGGUAAGCUCACUAUGCAUUGAUCGAACUUCAUUUUGCAGUUCAGCUACCUGAUCCUGCAGCACUUGAAUGGUCUGUGCCUGGGUCUGCAUAGUUCUUGCAUUAAAAGCAACCUGCUGGGCCAAUGCAGAAUCUGAUCCGACGGUCUCCAUGAAUGGGCC